UGUGGAAUCCUCCCUCUCAUAAUGUUGUUUCUAACAUUUUAUUGGCUUGUGUACAAAUUUGUGUAUAGGUGAGAAGCAUGGGAUCAUUUAGUACC
Telopea speciosissima is the source of this 95-nucleotide long non-coding RNA. RefSeq lists it as uncharacterized. The record is from RefSeq and is a predicted model, not a curated record. Lineage: Eukaryota; Viridiplantae; Streptophyta; Magnoliopsida; Proteales; Proteaceae. The transcript has 3 exons.